GAGGAUGUGGCCCAGUGGUAGAGAGCGCACUUAGUGUGCAUGAGGCCCUGGGUUCAAUUCCCAGUACCUCCA
RNAcentral lists this transfer RNA (72 nucleotides) under Camelus bactrianus (Bactrian camel). It matches the Rfam family "tRNA". Rfam says of the family: Transfer RNA (tRNA) molecules are approximately 80 nucleotides in length. RNAcentral also lists the same sequence under 1 other name. Lineage: Eukaryota; Metazoa; Chordata; Mammalia; Artiodactyla; Camelidae. The record is from Rfam by way of RNAcentral.